UGUAUCUGAAGUCUGACGAGGAUGAGAACCUCCGGGGGCAAGAGGUUCGACUCGAGCGAAGCGAGAGAACGUUGCGUCAGCAACGGCCCGCAAG
RNAcentral lists this small RNA (94 nucleotides) under Salmonella enterica subsp. enterica serovar Enteritidis. RNAcentral describes it as "partial RtT sRNA". It matches the Rfam family "RtT RNA", at positions 1 to 90 of the family's 130-position model. Rfam says of the family: This family represents a bacterial cis-regulatory element known as RtT RNA. The exact function of RtT is unknown although it is thought that it may be involved in changing the cellular response in relation to amino acid starvation. Lineage: Bacteria; Pseudomonadati; Pseudomonadota; Gammaproteobacteria; Enterobacterales; Enterobacteriaceae. The record is from RNAcentral.